CCUACGGGAGGCAGCAGUGAGGAAUAUUGGUCAAUGGACGAGAGUCUGAACCAGCCAAGUAGCGUGAAGGAUGACUGCCCUAUGGGUUGUAAACUUCUUUUAUAUGGGAAUAAAAUGUUCCACGUGUGGGAUUUUGUAUGUACCAUAUGAAUAAGGAUCGGCUAACUCCGUGCCAGCAGCCGCGGUAAUACGGAGGAUCCGAGCGUUAUCCGGAUUUAUUGGGUGUAAAGGGACCGUAGGUGGAUUGUUAAGUCAGUUGUGAAAGUUUGCGGCUCAACCGUAAAAUUGCAGUUGAAACUGGCAGUCUGGAGUACAGUAGAGGUGGGCGGAAUUCGUGGUGGAGCGGUGAAAUGCUUAGAUAUCACGAAGAACGCCGAGUGCGAAGGCAGCUCACUGGACUGCAACUGACACUGAGGCUCGAAAGUGGGGGUAGCAAACAGGAUUAGAUACCCCAGUAGGC
RNAcentral lists this ribosomal RNA (460 nucleotides) under uncultured bacterium. RNAcentral describes it as "partial 16S ribosomal RNA". It matches the Rfam family "Bacterial small subunit ribosomal RNA", at positions 338 to 795 of the family's 1533-position model. The record is from RNAcentral.